CCUACGGGUGGCUGCAGUCGAGAAUCAUUCACAAUGGGGGAAACCCUGAUGGUGCGACGCCGCGUGGGGGAAUGAAGGUCUUCGGAUUGUACACUCUGUCAUGUGGGAGCAAAUUAAAAAGAUAGUACCACAAGAGGAAGAGACGUCUAACUCUGUGCCAGCAGCCUCGGUAAUACAGAGGUCUCAAGCGUUGUUCGGCAUCACUGGGAGUAAAGCGUGCGGAGGCUGUUUGGUAAGUCGUGGGUGAAAGGCGCGGGCUGAACCCGCGGACGACACAUGAUACUGCGAGACUAGAGUAAUGGAGUGGGAACCGGAAUUCUCGGUGUAGCAGUGAAAUGCGUAGAUAUCGAGAGGAACACUCGUGGCGAAGGCGGGUUCCUGGACAUUAACUGACGCUGAGGCACGAAGGCCAGGGGAGCGAAAGGGAUUAGAUACCCCUGUAGUC
RNAcentral lists this ribosomal RNA (445 nucleotides) under uncultured bacterium. Its description in RNAcentral is "partial 16S ribosomal RNA". It matches the Rfam family "Bacterial small subunit ribosomal RNA", at positions 338 to 795 of the family's 1533-position model. The record is from RNAcentral.